RNAcentral lists this small RNA (31 nucleotides) under Bombyx mori (domestic silkworm). Its description in RNAcentral is "ovarian small RNA-2088". The record is from RNAcentral. Lineage: Eukaryota; Metazoa; Arthropoda; Insecta; Lepidoptera; Bombycidae.
UCGCCGUUGCAAUGGGGCAACGCGCCCACGC